AAUUAAUGAAAUAAACACUCUAUUAAUGAAAUCUUCCGAGGAACAUAUCAGCCGGGUUUCUCCUCCCUCCCCACCAUUUGCCCAUCAAGGAAAAAUGAGGCACCCCAACUUAGAUCAAACUCAUCAAGGAUUCCUCAGCUUUUUGCCAAUUAGUCGACUCAGAUUGGUGCUGGCAUAACUUCAAAAAGUGAGAGAGGUUUGGUAGGGGAAUAGGUGAUUUGGUAGCUGCAAGAAAUUUCAGAGGGGAAGGUGGGUGAGUUACCAGCUUGGACUGUGAAAUCAUUUUCUAUGGUGCCAUUGUAGAUUUGGAUUGAUAUUCGUUGAUUUUUUUGGCCACUGUGAUGCAAUCAUCGGCAUCUUUUAUUUGCUUCAAGUGAUCAGACUAAAAUUUAAGAUUUUAUAUUGUUAAAUAAUUGAUAUUUUUUCAUUUUCCUUUGGUUCCAGCAGUGACAAGUGCAGUCAUAUACCUUGAAGAGUCCAUCUGUUUGAGCCAUCUGCUUCAGCCAUAUUCUUAUUUCUCUGCUCUAACUGAGAUAUAUUAUGUUUAUAUAUGAAUGAUUUCCUGGAAAUAGUGUGGUUAUGUAUAAACUUUGAGGAUAUUAUAAAAUCUAUAUACCUAAUAAUUAAUUAUAUUUUGCAUUGAUGAAAUUAAUUUAUCGAUCAUUAUCUGAUUUGGUUUCAGAAGACGAGUAGUUUUUCUUGGUUUUUGUUGCAU
This 715-nucleotide long non-coding RNA is filed under the name Durio zibethinus. RNAcentral describes it as "long non-coding RNA (DZIB_LNC000379)". The record is from RNAcentral. Lineage: Eukaryota; Viridiplantae; Streptophyta; Magnoliopsida; Malvales; Malvaceae.